AUAGGUUAAAGCUUUUACAUGAUAUAUCUUCAAAGCAACUUCCAUAGUGUUCCUUAACAAUCAUCCUAUAUAACUCGGGGCAGAGAGCGUUAUAGUGAUGGCUCCUUUCUCCAUGCGAGGUCGUCUUCACAAGAAUCACAACAUGCCGAUCACCAAGAAACGCUUGAAAUCGCAAACAAAAACGAAAACGAAUGGGAUGAAGGGCAGGAAAGGUUUAAGAGGUUGAAAACAGAAAUGGAGGAGAUCAGCGAAGAACAGAAGGGUAUUAGAGAAGAGUAGAGACAAGUUCGUGAAAAAUUUGAAGCAAUGGAAUCUGAGUGCGAGCAGUUGAAGAAAGAAACUAACUUCAUAAUCCAACAAAGUGCUAGAACUCAGAUCAAAUUAGUUCUCAUGUUCAAACUAUUGAACGCAAGGGAAGAGAGUGACUUUGCAACCGCUGCCAAUCUUAAUCAGUUGCUUGGGUACCUUUCUUUUUUCUUCUCCUUGCAUGAUCAAGCUUCUACAAAUUGGGCAUCUUCUUCUCUUUUUUCUUCUCUUUACUCAGUUCUUUUUUUUUUUCUAAAUUUUUCGCGAAUUAAUCAUUUUUUCCUCUUUUACACCUUUGCCAUUCAAAUUGGAAGGAAAUUCUUGUAGAGGCUUGAUCAUGCAAAGCAAAGGAAAAAGAAAGGUACCCAAGCAACUGAGUAAGGUUGGCAGCGGUAGCAAAGUCUCUCUUCCCUUGCCUUCAAAUAUUUUGAUGAACAUGAGAACUAAUUUGAUCUGAGUUCUAGCAAUAAAGUCCGCAACGUCAGUGUAUUUGGUCAGAAAGCUAAUUCGAGAGUUGUAAGAAUGUUGUCUUUGUCUAGCUUACUGCGACGAUGUCAAGUUUCAAGUCAAAUUGUUGCUAGGGAGAAGGAAGAAAGUCAAGCACUGAUGGAUGCAUGAACAAAAGUUAUUCAUUAUUCACUAUUUACAUCCAAAUAUUUGUUCAUUAUUCAUUGAUCUAGUAGAGAUGUAAAUAUUUGUUCAUGAAUGGAUAGUACAUAUUAUUCAUUAUUUUGAAUAAUGAACAAAAGUUAAUUAUUAUACCAUCCAACUUGCUAUCCGUUCAAUAUUCAAAUUUUUCUGAACUUAUUAAGAUAAAAAAGGUACUACAAACAUUUACAUCUUCUUCACGGGUGAGCUUGACGAAGUUAAUCAUCGAGUCGGAUUCCAAAAGUUGCUAUCUCAUUGGUGAAAAACGCUUCGAUCAGACUAUGAAUUCAUUAGAUUAUCUUUGAUGAUAAUGACAAACUCUGGAGAUUUAUUGGGAAGGUGGAACUCUAUCAUAUGUUUAGAGAGGUUAAUGCAUUGUGGGAUUCCUCGGCUAAAUUCGUCGAGGAUAAGAUUGUGAGGUAAUGUUUUGUGCUGGGAGAUUGUAACAGUCGGUUGUGGUGUGGAUAAGAUUGUGGUUUCACUGUGGUUCUGCUUCAUUUUGUUUUGUUGUGUGAAGUUUCAUGUUGGGGACUUUUCUGUAUUGUUUUUCUUUUUUAUGUUUGAGAAUGGUGCAGCCAUUGUCAACACAGUAAGAUGAAAUUCAUGAAUCGGUUUGCCAGUGCAGGUGGAUAGCCCGGCGCUACGUACGUAGUAGAGAUGAUGGGCGAGGGAAUAAACUCCUCAGCAAUGCUUGCGGUUGCAGAUAGGCUGACUAAAUCUGGGUUUCUCCGAAUGAAGGAUUUCAUACAAAUAUGUUGGAAUGUUUACUUUUGGAAGGCUGCCAUUUUCUCUACUUUCUUCCCUCUGUUCUGCUUUGCCAUCUUCUGAUGAACUUGUUCAAUCCUUAUUACAUUCUUA
Molecule: long non-coding RNA, 1812 nt
Organism: Theobroma umbraticum
Lineage: Eukaryota; Viridiplantae; Streptophyta; Magnoliopsida; Malvales; Malvaceae
Source: RefSeq, a predicted model, not a curated record